RNAcentral lists this ribosomal RNA (253 nucleotides) under uncultured bacterium. RNAcentral's name for it is "partial 16S ribosomal RNA". It matches the Rfam family "Bacterial small subunit ribosomal RNA", at positions 524 to 776 of the family's 1533-position model. The record is from RNAcentral.
UACGUAGGGUGCGAGCGUUAAUCGGAAUUACUUGGCGUAAAGCGUGCGCAGGCGGUUCGCCAAGUCAGGGGUGAAAUCCCCGGGCUUAACCUGGGAAUUGCGCUUGAAACUAGCGGGCUUGAGUGCGGCAGAGGGGGGUGGAAUUCCACGUGUAGCAGUGAAAUGCGUAGAGAUGUGGAGGAACACCGAUGGCGAAGGCAGCCCCCUGGGUCGACACUGACGCUCAUGCACGAAAGCGUGGGGAGCAAACAGG